Molecule: non-coding RNA, 138 nt
Organism: Ornithorhynchus anatinus (platypus)
Lineage: Eukaryota; Metazoa; Chordata; Mammalia; Monotremata; Ornithorhynchidae
Source: Rfam
CCCAUCUCAGGAUGGCACCUGGAGUCUUUCCAGUAUUCUACCAGUCUCGGCUUCAGGAGGGAAAGUCAAGCAGAGGCCUACCCAUUCCACUCCUAGCUUCGACAGUGGCUGGCAAGUGGAAGACAAUCUGCUACAAGU